This 450-nucleotide ribosomal RNA is filed under the name uncultured bacterium. RNAcentral describes it as "partial 16S ribosomal RNA". It matches the Rfam family "Bacterial small subunit ribosomal RNA", at positions 354 to 796 of the family's 1533-position model. The record is from RNAcentral.
GUGGGGAAUUUUGGACAAUGGGCGAAAGCCUGAUCCAGCAAUGCCGCGUGCAGGAUGAAGGCCCUCGGGUUGUAAACUGCUUUUGUACGGAACGAAAAGCCUGGGGCUAAUAUCCCCGGGUCAUGACGGUACCGUAAGAAUAAGCACCGGCUAACUACGUGCCAGCAGCCGCGGUAAUACGUAGGGUGCAAGCGUUAAUCGGAAUUACUGGGCGUAAAGCUUGCGCAGGCGGUUUUGUAAGACAGUGGUGAAAUCCCCGGGCUCAACCUGGGAACUGCCAUUGUGACUGCAAGGCUAGAGUGCGGCAGAGGGGGAUGGAAUUCCGCGUGUAGCAGUGAAAUGCGUAGAUAUGCGGAGGAACACCGAUGGCGAAGGCAAUCCCCUGGGCCUGCACUGACGCUCAUGCACGAAAGCGUGGGGAGCAAACAGGAUUAGAAACCCUGGUAGUCC